This is a long non-coding RNA of Anolis carolinensis (green anole), 2863 nucleotides long. NCBI's taxonomy places the organism in Eukaryota, Metazoa, Chordata, Lepidosauria, Squamata, Anolidae. The record is from Ensembl.
GAAUGUUGAAGUAACAUGUUACCUUUAGAAGCCCUCAACAACAACACCACCAACAAAAAGAUAUAUGUUGGAUCAAGUUCACCUUUUGAAUAUGCAUUCACAGCUCUUUCUGAAGUUAGUGGUGUUUGGCUUGUACUACAGAACAGAAUCUGCCACGAAACUUUUAAGGAGGUCAUCUUCUCUGAAACUUGGGUGGAGAAGGAACAAGGAAGACUAGCACCAUGUAAGAUAACACUCAAAGUAAAGUUGGAGGAAGAAGAGGAAAUCUGGCUCAUGAUGACAUCAGCCUUUGAAGUUUCCUACCAUGAGUACCAUAUGAAUUGAAGCAAUCCGACUUAAACAUUGCCAUUAUUUUCAUGGGUCUAAAUGUUAUUGGUUAAAUGCAGCUAAAGAAGGAUCACUGAAUGCAUUGCUGAAUUGUGUGGCCACAUGAAGGUAAAUCCCAUUGAUUUAUCAUGUUUGCUUUUAACUAACAAUAAGGAUCAAGGCUUAAAGUUCAUGGAGUGACCACGGGAUUCAUAUGAAAUAUGAUACCCUCGGUCAUCAAAGGCUGUUUCCUUACACAGGAAUCUAUUGCUACUUAUGGCCAAGGAAAACUCAAAGUGUACCUAUUAUGCCCUGAUUAUAGGUAGCAAAUGAUGUACCCAGUUCAAUACCAACAAUUUCAUCACCAGAUUCAUGGCAUGUUCCUCAGCUGUUAGCUGCCUCCUCUUCUUCUCCCCCUUCCAUUGAUCCACCUAGGUUUUUCCAAGACCUAUCUGGAGACCCCUUCACACCACAUAAUUAUUAUAGCACUAUAAUUCCACUUUAUCUGUCCUGGUUCCAUCCUAUGAAAUCCUUGGACUGGCAGUUUAAGAUGGAGAGCUCUUGUGCCUCACCAGGAUACAAACCUAUGGAAUCCAUAAAAUGUAGCCACAGUACUUAAAAGGGAAUCAUGGUGUAGUGUGGAAGGGCCCCUGGUAAACUUCUGUCCUAUUGUGGCUUUUGUUUAGCUUCUGAAAUCAGUUAAGAUUUGUUUGUUUGAGGUAAUAAUGUAAGUAUGAGAGUUUCUUGCAUGUGUCUUGAUUAAUGAGCUUAUAUGGAGUGUGACCUGACACCUCUUGAUGCAUUUAUUUAUUUAUUUAUUUAUUUACAGUCUUUAUAGUCCGUCCUUCUCACCCCGAAGGGGACUCAGGGCGGAUUACAAUGAACACGUAUAUGACAAACAUUCAAUGCCAACAGACAAACAACAUACAGUAUAGACAGACACAGAGGCAUUUAAUAUUUUUCCAGCUUCACGAUUCCGGCCACAGGGGAAGCUGUUGCUUCACCGUCCACUAGUGGCUGUACUUCCUCAUUCCUUUCCUCGUGUUUUGCUGGCAGUUUGAUGGUGUUGUAAAUUAGUUAAAUUUGCCUCCCACAUAAAGCAUACCUAAAUUUCCCUACUUGACAGAUGCAACUGUAUUUCGGGGCUGCAUAGGUCAACAGCAAGCCGGGCUAUUUAAUGGUCGGGGGCUUAACCCGACCUGGGCUUCGAACUCAGUGGUGAUUUAUUGCAGCUGGUUACUAGGCAGCAGCACCACAUCCCGGCCCUUUCAUAAUAAGAUCCAUCAUCUCAACCAUUGUCCAUGAUGGGCAUGAUGGAAUAAACAACCCAAAGAGUUGGAAAUUGGGGGAGUCUAUCUAAUGCAGUUUGAGGGAAAUAUCCUCAACUUGGCAACUGAACAGAUUUUUCCUUCCUACUUUAGAUUCAGGUAAUUAAUGGUUGCUACACUGAUAAUAAUAAUAAUAAUAAAACUUUAUUUAUACCCCGCCACCAUCUCCCCAACGGGGACUCGGGGCGGCUUACAUGGGGCCAUGCCCAAAACCAUACAAUAUGACAGAAUAUAAAACAACAUAUCAUAACACAAUUUAACAAUACAAUAAAUAAUAACAUACAUUACAACCCAAAAUUCAGAAAAAGCAAUAAAAACCAGGGCAGGCCACAUGAACACUAAGUUAAAACUCGGUGAGAAAGACAUAUGAAUAAAACCACGAGGAGCAGGGACAUAAAAUAGUGGAACAGUCUAGAGGAUAGAUAUCCCAAGUAGCAGUUCAUCGGAAGAAGCCAAGCCUACAUAGUUUCCCUUUGUGGGCUUUUGGGUAAGGGUUUCCACAUUGCAUUAUUUUGCAGUCCUGAUCAGCAACUAGUUUUACUGUAAGUAGAAGAUGAAUGCAUGAAUGAAUUCAUUCCAAAUCUCUAGUCAAAGAUUUCACCACUCCAAUUAGUGUUGCAAAAUAGGAACUGACAAAUGUCACUCCAUGCAAUUUUUAAAAAGCUAUAGGUACUCUUUGGUGCUAUUACAGCUGUGAGCAAUACUACCUGGAAUUAUAAAAAAGGAAAUGGGGGAAUAUUGGUACUACAGUGCCUGGAAAUGCUUCAUUCAUUCAUUCCCCUUAAUUUGUCUCCUGAGUUUGCUGGAUAUCAAUUCUUGAAACCAAGAAACAGUGCACAUUAGGUCUGAAUGGGAAUUUCAGUUCCAGCCUCCUUGGUCCCAUUCAGCACUUGACACAUUCUGCCACACUAAAAGGGUCUUCAAAAGCAAAGUGAGUGCUUCAUUCAAUUUCACAGAUGUUCUCAAGGGCCACAUUUUAGUUCUGCAUGGGGCAAAAGGCUGGAACACAAGGCUCAGUUUAUUUUAGCUUAAAGCUCCUUCUGCCAGUAACUAAGCUAUAGGGGAGACAUCUCAAUCUUUAGAAUGGUCCCCCUCCCAGUCUUUUAAAGAUGGGAAACCACUAUCUGAUACUGCCUCUGGGGAAACCUAAGAGGGCUGAAUGUCCCCAGGUCUACAUUUUCCCAGCUUGUUCUUAAUGACUAAUAGUAAGGUUGUUUCCCUCUGCCGCC